UAAAAGAAAAACUUAAAUAGAAAAAGAAAAGAUUAAGAAGAUGACCGGUGAAUCGAUAAAGUAAUAUCUUUCUUUUAUUUAUAAACAUUUGAGGAAGGGAUUACAUUAAUUCCUAGACUAAAUGUUUAAGGGGGAAGAUCGAAGUAUUAAGGACUUCGUCUUCAUCUUUAACUAAGAAGAUCGAAGCUGAAAGCUUCGUCUCCGGCUAACUCUAGAGAGAAGAGAGAGGACCUCGGAAGAGCUUUCUAGAGAGAGAAGCUCUGAGGCUACAUUAAAUUAAGCCUAAACAACUCUAAACACUUUGAGUUGUUUAAAUAGAAAACUGAAAAGUAAAUUACUAUUUGAUUCACGCAGGAAUCACUAUUACAUUAACUGAAGUAAAAGUAAUUUACUAAAGUAAAAGUAAAACGUAAGAAACAUUUUACAUUUACUUUUACAUUGGUAAAUGUAAGAAACAUUUAACUAAAGUUACAAACAUUUAACUUAAGUAAAAGCAAAAGUUAUUCUUUUACUUUUACUUUUAUAUUUACUAAAGUAAAAGGCUUUUGUUUUACAGAAAGCAAAAGCUGAGAUGAUGGCUGGGCCAUCACCUGUCUGUGACUUGAAGAUGCCUCUGGCGUCUUCUUCGUUGACUGGUCUGUCUCUUGUGGAUGCCGGAAGGUGCUAUUGAUCAUCUUCUCAGAUGAGUCACCAUCCCCAUACAUUUCCACCUUAAAAUUUUUAUCUAGAAAAUAACCCUUUCACCCCCAAUAAUUUGGUUUAUAAAAAAGGAGGAAAUUUUUUUUUUUUACCAAAAAUUGGUCAAAAUCUUCAAAAUUUGUUGGAUUUUGUAAAAAAAAUUUGUUUAAAAACAAAUCAGACUGAAAUCUAAAACAAAAGAUCACUCGAUUGGUCCUGAUCUAACAGUAAAUCGAUUUAAACAGAAGACAUAUUUGUUAACUGUUUAAACAAAAAUUCUUUCUCUUGAAGGUCCACUUAGACUCAAACCUUACUUGCCUUGAACACAUAAUUCCCUUUAGCCUUACACUGCACCCAAUUGAGACUUACAAACGGCAUUAUUCGGGACUUAAGGCGAUCUUGGGUUGUUUACGGCGAAGGUCGGGCGAUUAAAAGCGGAGCAAGAAAAAUAAAAGUUUGAAAAAACAUUUAAGUAAACAAAUCAAACUGUUUUCAAUCGAAACCACUGAUAGCAUCAAGAACCAACCGUGUGGCUCUGAUACCAUAUAACAGCGAGAUAAGUUUUUAAAAGAAAAACUUAAAUAGAAAAAGAAAAGAUUAAGAAGAUGACCGGUGAAUCGAUAAAGUAAUCUCUUUCUUUUAUUUAUAAACAUUUGAGGAAUGGAUUACAUUAAUUCCUAGACUAAAUGUUUAAGGGGGAAGAUCGAAGUAUUAAGGACUUCGUCUUCAUCUUUAACUAAGAAGGUCGAAGCUGAAAGCUUCGUCUCCGACUAACUCUAGAGAGAAGGGAGAGGACCUCGGAAGAGCUUUCUAGAGAGAGAAGCUCUGAGGCUACAUUGAAUUAAGCCUAAACAACUCUAAACACUUCGAGUUGUUUAAAUAUAAAACUAAAAAGUAAAUUACUAUUUGAUUCACGCAGGAAUCCCUAUUACAUUAACUGAA
RNAcentral lists this long non-coding RNA (1620 nucleotides) under Panax ginseng (ginseng). RNAcentral's name for it is "long non-coding RNA (PGIN_LNC009923)". Lineage: Eukaryota; Viridiplantae; Streptophyta; Magnoliopsida; Apiales; Araliaceae. The record is from RNAcentral.